Molecule: ribosomal RNA, 497 nt
Filed under: uncultured bacterium
Lineage: Bacteria
Description: partial 16S ribosomal RNA
Rfam family: Bacterial small subunit ribosomal RNA
Source: RNAcentral
GAUGAACGCUGGCGGCGUGCCUAAUACAUGCAAGUCGAGCGAACAGACGAGGAGGCUGCUCCUCUGACGUUAGCGGCGGACGGGUGAGUAACACGUGGAUAACCUACCUAUAAGACUGGGAUAACUUCGGGAAACCGGAGCUAAUACCGGAUAAUAUAUUGAACCGCAUGGUUCAAUAGUGAAAGACGGUUUUGCUGUCACUUAUAGAUGGAUCCGCGCCGCAUUAGCUAGUUGGUAAGGUAACGGCUUACCAAGGCAACGAUGCGUAGCCGACCUGAGAGGGUGAUCGGCCACACUGGAACUGAGACACGGUCCAGACUCCUACGGGAGGCAGCAGUAGGGAAUCUUCCGCAAUGGGCGAAAGCCUGACGGAGCAACGCCGCGUGAGUGAUGAAGGUCUUCGGAUCGUAAAACGCUGUUAGUAGGGAAGAACAAAUGUGUAAGUAACUAUGCACGUCUUGACGGUACCUAAUCAGAAAGCCACGGCUAACUACGUG